Grammomys surdaster is the source of this 102-nucleotide small nuclear RNA. The record is from RefSeq and is a predicted model, not a curated record. NCBI's taxonomy places the organism in Eukaryota, Metazoa, Chordata, Mammalia, Rodentia, Muridae.
AUGCUCACUUCAGCAGCACAUAUGCUAAAAUGGAACGAUACAGAGAUUAGCAUGACCCCUGCACAAGGAUGAUAUACAAAUUCAGAAGCACUCUAUAAUUUU